Molecule: long non-coding RNA, 311 nt
Organism: Bubalus bubalis (water buffalo)
Lineage: Eukaryota; Metazoa; Chordata; Mammalia; Artiodactyla; Bovidae
Exons: 3
Source: RefSeq, a predicted model, not a curated record
GUGACGUGUUGGCAUAAGGAGAACAUGAGCUGAAAUAUCCCUGAAUUUUUAGAACAAAAAGGUUGAAGUUCAAGUUAUACUUGCUAAGAAAUCAAGUAUUGGAAAAAGAUUAAAAGACCAGAAUUAUGCUCUUUUGGAUGGUAUAACUUUCAUGUAUCAAAAACAGAACACUACAGUGGCUUCAACAAUUAGGAAGAGAAAAAGUUAAAUAAAAGAAAAGCAUUGCUUCAAAAAUAUUUCUGGAAAGACAGGCAAUGGCACCCGACUCCAGUACUCUUGCCUGGAGAAUCCCACGAACGGAGGAGCCUGGU